AGUAAAAUGGCUGAGGUAUAGGCGAUAAAUUGUAAAUUUAUUUACGAAUAAGGAUUCUUUUACUA
RNAcentral lists this transfer RNA (65 nucleotides) under Onthophagus cf. taurinus. RNAcentral describes it as "tRNA-Tyr". Lineage: Eukaryota; Metazoa; Arthropoda; Insecta; Coleoptera; Scarabaeidae. The record is from RNAcentral.